UGCUACUGAUUUGCAACAGCCUAUUACACCAUUAUUAUUUAUGGCAAAUGGUCCUUCAUUUGUAACUGAUACGAUUUAUCCGGAGCGUUUUAAACAUGUUGAAGAAUUAAAGCGCAUGGGUGC
RNAcentral lists this small RNA (123 nucleotides) under Staphylococcus aureus. Its description in RNAcentral is "HMPRNC0000_2345". The record is from RNAcentral. Lineage: Bacteria; Bacillati; Bacillota; Bacilli; Caryophanales; Staphylococcaceae.